GACGAACGCUGGCGGCGUGCUUAACACAUGCAAGUCGAACGGAAAGGCCCUGCUUUUGUGGGGUGCUCGAGUGGCGAACGGGUGAGUAACACGUGAGUAACCUGCCCUUGACUUUGGGAUAACUUCAGGAAACUGGGGCUAAUACCGUAUAGGAGCUCCUGCUGCAUGGUGGGGGUUGGAAAGUUUCGGCGGUUGGGGAUGGACUCGCGGCUUAUCAGCUUGUUGGUGGGGUAGUGGCUUACCAAGGCUUUGACGGGUAGCCGGCCUGAGAGGGUGACCGGCCACAUUGGGACUGAGAUACGGCCCAGACUCCUACGGGAGGCAGCAGUGGGGAAUAUUGCACAAUGGGCGGAAGCCUGAUACAGCAACGCCGCGUGCGGGAUGACGGCCUUCGGGUUGUAAACCGCUUUCGCCUGUGACGAAGCGUGAGUGACGGUAAUGGGUAAAGAAGCACCGGCUAACUACGUG
This 468-nucleotide ribosomal RNA is filed under the name uncultured bacterium. RNAcentral's name for it is "partial 16S ribosomal RNA". It matches the Rfam family "Bacterial small subunit ribosomal RNA", at positions 28 to 507 of the family's 1533-position model. The record is from RNAcentral.